RNAcentral lists this ribosomal RNA (200 nucleotides) under uncultured bacterium. RNAcentral's name for it is "partial 16S ribosomal RNA". It matches the Rfam family "Bacterial small subunit ribosomal RNA", at positions 524 to 723 of the family's 1533-position model. The record is from RNAcentral.
UACGUAGGAGACGAGCGUUGUCCGGAAUUACUGGGCGUAAAGCGCGUGUAGGCGGAGGAGCAAGUCUGCUGUGAAAGCCCCUGGCUUAACCGGGGGUGGUCGGUGGAAACUGCUCGUCUGGAGGACGGUAGAGGUAGGUAGAAUUCCCGGUGUAGUGGUGAAAUGCGUAGAGAUCGGGAGGAAUACCUGUGGCGAAGGCG